GUCCACGCCGUAAACGAUGGGUACUUGGUGUUGGAGGUAUUGACCCCUUCAGUGCCGAAGCAAACGCGUUAAGUACCCCGCCUGGGGAGUACGGCCGCAAGGUUAAAACUCAAAGAAAUUGACGGGGGCCCGCACAAGCGGUGGAGCAUGUGGUUUAAUUCGAUGCAACGCGAAGAACCUUACCUGGGCUCGAAAUGUAACGGAAUUAAGCAGAGAUGUUUAAGCCUUCGGGCCGUUAUAUAGGUGCUGCAUGGCUGUCGU
Molecule: ribosomal RNA, 261 nt
Filed under: uncultured bacterium
Lineage: Bacteria
Description: partial 16S ribosomal RNA
Rfam family: Bacterial small subunit ribosomal RNA
Source: RNAcentral